This 328-nucleotide ribosomal RNA is filed under the name uncultured eukaryote. RNAcentral's name for it is "partial 18S ribosomal RNA". It matches the Rfam family "Eukaryotic small subunit ribosomal RNA", at positions 1470 to 1796 of the family's 1831-position model. The record is from RNAcentral.
CCCUUAGAUGUCCUGGGCUGCACGCGCGCUACACUGAUGUGUCCAGUAAGCACCUAACCUCUUCCGAAAGGAACGGGUAACCUUUGCAAAGCACAUCGUGAUGGGGAUAGAUUAUUGCAAUUAUUAGUCUUGAACGAGGAAUUCCUAGUAAGCACAAGUCAUCAGCUUGUGUUGAUUACGUCCCUGCCCUUUGUACACACCGCCCGUCGCUCCUACCGAUUGAGUGGUCCGGUGAGGCUUUGGGAUCUGAGCAAAAAGAGCGUUUCGCUCGUUUGGCUCGGAAAACUCAGUCGAACCUUAUCAUUUAGAGGAAGGAGAAGUCGUAACA